GAUGAGCCCGCGGCCUAUCAGCUUGUUGGUGAGGUAAUGGCUCACCAAGGCUACGACGGGUAGCCGGCCUGAGAGGGCGACCGGCCACACUUGGACUGAGACACGGCCCAGACUCCUACGGGAGGCAGCAGUGGGGAAUAUUGGGCAAUGGGCGAAAGCCUGACCCAGCGACGCCGCGUGCGCUAUGAAGGCCUUCGGGUUGUAAACCGCUUUCAGCAGGG
This 221-nucleotide ribosomal RNA is filed under the name uncultured Actinomycetales bacterium. RNAcentral's name for it is "partial 16S ribosomal RNA". It matches the Rfam family "Bacterial small subunit ribosomal RNA", at positions 224 to 444 of the family's 1533-position model. The record is from RNAcentral. Lineage: Bacteria; Bacillati; Actinomycetota; Actinomycetes; Actinomycetales.